GAUUAACGCUGGCGGCGUGCUUAACACAUGCAAGUCGAACGAUGAAACCUAACUGAUUUCUUCGGAAUGAUUUUAAGUGGAUUAGUGGCGGACGGGUGAGUAACGCGUGAGUAACCUGCCUUGGAGAAGGGGAUCGCCUUUGGAAACGAAGAAUAAUACCCUAUGAUAUGAUUAUAACUCAUGAUAUUAUCAUCAAAGAUUUAUCGCUCUAAGAUGGACUUGCGUCUGAUUAGUUAGUCGGUGAGGUAACAGCUCACCAAGGCAGCGAUCAGUAGCCGGCUGUGGAGGGUGUACGGCCGCAUUGGGAAUGAGACACGGCCCAGAGUCCGACGGGAGGCAGCAGUGGGGAAUUAUGGACGAUGGGGGGAACCCGGAUGCAGCGACGCCGCGUGAUUUAGAUGGCGUUCGGGUUGUAAAAAUCUUUUGUAUAGGAAGAAAGUGACGGUACCAGACGAAUAAGGACCGGCUAAUUACGUG
This 477-nucleotide ribosomal RNA is filed under the name uncultured bacterium. Its description in RNAcentral is "partial 16S ribosomal RNA". It matches the Rfam family "Bacterial small subunit ribosomal RNA", at positions 28 to 507 of the family's 1533-position model. The record is from RNAcentral.